AGAGUUUGAUCCUGGCUCAGGACGAACGCUGGCGGCGUGCUUAACACAUGCAAGUCGAAGGGGAUUACCGGGCGGAAGGCUUCGGCCGGAAGGCUGGUAAUUCGAGUGGCGGACGGGUAGUAACGCGUGAGCAACCUGUCCCAGACAGGGGGAUAACACUUGGAAACAGGUGCUAAUCCGCAUAAGACCACGGGAUCACAUGGUCCAGGGGUAAAAGGAGCAAUCCGGUUUGGGGUGGCUCGCGUCCGAUUAGAUAGUUGGUGAGGUAAGGGCCCACCAAGUCUGCGAUCGGUAGCGAUCUGAGAGGAUGACCGGCCACAUUGGAACUGAGAGACGGUCCAAACUCCUACGGGAGCAGCAGUGGGGAAUAUUGGGCAAUGGGCGAAAGCCUGACCCAGCAACGCCGCGUGAGUAAGAAGGCUUUCGGGUUGUAAAGCUCUGUUAUAGGGGACGAAGGGAGUGACGGUACCCUUAAGGAAGCCCCGGCUAACUACGUGCCAGCAGCCGCGGUAAUACGUAGGGGGCGAGCGUGUCCGGAAUGACUGGGUGUAAAGGGCGUGUAGGCGGCCGAUUAAGUCUGGAGUGAAAGUCUGUUUUUAAGGUGGGAAUUGCUUUGGAUACUGGUUGGCUUGAGUGCGGAAGAGGUAAGGGAAUUCCCAGUGUAGCGGUGAAAUGCGUAGAGAUUGGGAGGAACACCAGUGGCGAAGGGACUUACUGGGCCGUAACUGACGCUGAGGCGCGAAAGCGUGGGGAGCGAACAGGAUUAGUACCCUGGUAGUCCACGCGGUAAACGAUGAAUGCUAGGUGUUGCGGGUAUCGACCCCUGAGUGCCGGAGUAAACACAAUAAGCAUUCCGCCUGGGGAGUACGGCCGC
This 874-nucleotide ribosomal RNA is filed under the name uncultured Bacillota bacterium. RNAcentral describes it as "bacterial SSU rRNA". It matches the Rfam family "Bacterial small subunit ribosomal RNA", at positions 8 to 889 of the family's 1533-position model. The record is from RNAcentral. Lineage: Bacteria; Bacillati; Bacillota.